UACGUAGGGGCGAAGCGUUGUCCGGAUUUAUUGGGCGUAAAGAGCGUGUAGGCGGCCAAGCAGGUCCGCUGUGAAAACUUGAGACUUAACCUCGAGACGUCGGUGGAAACCGUUUGGCUAGAGUCCGGAAGAGGAGAGUGGAAUUCCCGGUGUAGCGGUGAAAUGCGCAGAUAUCGGGAAGAACACCCGUGGCGAAGGCGGAUCUCUGGGCCAUUACUGACGCUGAGGAGCGAAAGCGUGGGGAGCGAACAGGAUUAGAUACCCCGAGUAGU
Molecule: ribosomal RNA, 272 nt
Filed under: uncultured bacterium
Lineage: Bacteria
Description: partial 16S ribosomal RNA
Rfam family: Bacterial small subunit ribosomal RNA
Source: RNAcentral